GAAUCUUUAAAGAAAUAGUUUCAAGGAUGUCACUCACAGUGAUGCAUGAGAAGAGACUGCGGACUCUUCAGCUUACAAUACUUGAAGGUUUGCGAUGGGGAUAGUGUUGAUAUCUCAGGCCAACAUCUGGAGCGCAUGAAUACCUCGAGUGAGCCUAAACCAGCACUUCCACAGCUGACUUAACAUAAAAUGGAGGAUAACUGGCAUCAGGAGCGCCACUAGCUAUUCUAGUCAGCAGCAAGGUGAUUGAUAAGGAAAAUGCAAGCAGCGGGUGACAACUAACAGGCGCACUCCCUUAGACUACCUGCAUACCCCAGGCCUGAGAGAU
Falco peregrinus (peregrine falcon) is the source of this 328-nucleotide long non-coding RNA. RefSeq lists it as uncharacterized. NCBI's taxonomy places the organism in Eukaryota, Metazoa, Chordata, Aves, Falconiformes, Falconidae. The transcript has 3 exons. The record is from RefSeq and is a predicted model, not a curated record.